GAUCAUGGCUCAGGAUGAACGCUAGCUACAGGCUUAACACAUGCAAGGUCGGGGGGGCAGCAUGAACUUAGCUUGCUAAGUUUGAUGGCGACCGGCGCACGGGUGAGUAACACGUAUCCAACCUGCCGAUGACUCGGGGAUAGCCUUUCGAAAGAAAGAUUAAUACCCGAUGGCAUAGUUCUUCCGCAUGGUAGAACUAUUAAAGAAUUUCGGUCAUCGAUGGGGAUGCGUUCCAUUAGGUUGG
Molecule: ribosomal RNA, 244 nt
Filed under: uncultured bacterium
Lineage: Bacteria
Description: partial 16S ribosomal RNA
Rfam family: Bacterial small subunit ribosomal RNA
Source: RNAcentral